Myodes glareolus (Bank vole) is the source of this 106-nucleotide small nuclear RNA. The record is from RefSeq and is a predicted model, not a curated record. NCBI's taxonomy places the organism in Eukaryota, Metazoa, Chordata, Mammalia, Rodentia, Cricetidae.
AUGUUUUCCCUACACGUAUACAAAAAUUGGAAUGAUAUAAGAAGAUUAGCAUGGUCCCUGCGCAAGAAUGGAAGAUGGUUAAAAUCCAGAAUUCCAGAGAGUCUGU